This 63-nucleotide transfer RNA is filed under the name Onchidella borealis. Its description in RNAcentral is "tRNA-Glu". The record is from RNAcentral. Lineage: Eukaryota; Metazoa; Mollusca; Gastropoda; Systellommatophora; Onchidiidae.
GUUAUAAAGGUGAAAUUCACACCACCUUUUCGAGGUGGAGACGUCCUUCUUGGUCUUAUAAUA